RNAcentral lists this ribosomal RNA (882 nucleotides) under Salmonella enterica subsp. enterica serovar Sandiego. RNAcentral describes it as "partial 23S ribosomal RNA". It matches the Rfam family "Bacterial large subunit ribosomal RNA", at positions 665 to 1547 of the family's 2925-position model. The record is from RNAcentral. Lineage: Bacteria; Pseudomonadati; Pseudomonadota; Gammaproteobacteria; Enterobacterales; Enterobacteriaceae.
GCCGGAGGGAAACCGAGUCUUAAUUGGGCGUUAAGUUGCAGGGUAUAGACCCGAAACCCGGUGAUCUAGCCAUGGGCAGGUUGAAGGUUGGGUAACACUAACUGGAGGACCGAACCGACUAAUGUUGAAAAAUUAGCGGAUGACCUGUGGCUGGGGGUGAAAGGCCAAUCAAACCGGGAGAUAGCUGGUUCUCCCCGAAAGCUAUUUAGGUAGCGCCUCGUGAAUUCAUCUCCGGGGGUAGAGCACUGUUUCGGCUAGGGGGCCAUCCCGGCUUACCAACCCGAUGCAAACUGCGAAUACCGGAGAAUGUUAUCACGGGAGACACACGGCGGGUGCUAACGUCCGUCGUGAAGAGGGAAACAACCCAGACCGCCAGCUAAGGUCCCAAAGUCAUGGUUAAGUGGGAAACGAUGUGGGAAGGCCCAGACAGCCAGGAUGUUGGCUUAGAAGCAGCCAUCAUUUAAAGAAAGCGUAAUAGCUCACUGGUCGAGUCGGCCUGCGCGGAAGAUGUAACGGGGCUAAACCAUGCACCGAAGCUGCGGCAGCGACGCUGAUGCGUUGUUGGGUAGGGGAGCGUUCUGUAAGCCUGCGAAGGUGGCCUGUGAGGGUUGCUGGAGGUAUCAGAAGUGCGAAUGCUGACAUAAGUAACGAUAAAGCGGGUGAAAAGCCCGCUCGCCGGAAGACCAAGGGUUCCUGUCCAACGUUAAUCGGGGCAGGGUGAGUCGACCCCUAAGGCGAGGCCGAAAGGCGUAGUCGAUGGGAAACGGGUUAAUAUUCCCGUACUUGGUGUUACUGCGAAGGGGGGACGGAGAAGGCUAUGUUGGCCGGGCGACGGUUGUCCCGGUUUAAGCGUGUAGGUGUGUGUUCCAGGUAAAUCCGGUU